CGGUUAGCUCAGCUGGUAGAGCGUCUGCCUUACACGCAGAAUGUCGGGAGUUCGAGCCUCUCACCGCCCA
This 70-nucleotide transfer RNA is filed under the name Chloroflexota bacterium. Its description in RNAcentral is "Chloroflexi bacterium tRNA-Val". It matches the Rfam family "tRNA". Rfam says of the family: Transfer RNA (tRNA) molecules are approximately 80 nucleotides in length. Their secondary structure includes four short double-helical elements and three loops (D, anti-codon, and T loops). Further hydrogen bonds mediate the characteristic L-shaped molecular structure. tRNAs have two regions of fundamental functional importance: the anti-codon, which is responsible for specific mRNA codon recognition, and the 3' end, to which the tRNAs corresponding amino acid is attached (by aminoacyl-tRNA synthetases). tRNAs cope with the degeneracy of the genetic code in two manners: having more than one tRNA (with a specific anti-codon) for a particular amino acid; and 'wobble' base-pairing, i.e. permitting non-standard base-pairing at the 3rd anti-codon position. Lineage: Bacteria; Bacillati; Chloroflexota. The record is from RNAcentral.